This is a long non-coding RNA of Xenopus tropicalis (tropical clawed frog), 1254 nucleotides long. RefSeq lists it as uncharacterized. Lineage: Eukaryota; Metazoa; Chordata; Amphibia; Anura; Pipidae. The transcript is spliced from 5 exons. The record is from RefSeq and is a predicted model, not a curated record.
UUUCCAAUUUAGCCGGCAUUGGCUGUUCGCAGGCAGUUGUUCAGUGGAGCUGCUACUUGUGUGGAUGCUUCAGUUCUGAAACAUGCCAUAUGACCUUCCACCUGGACUGUUGUGCUAGUCCCCCCCAAGGAUCAGUCUGUUUGCCAUUCUGUGUAUGUAGGAGAGGAUGUAGAUUUCCACUUUCUGGGGAUUAAUGAUUUCGCUGAUUGGAGAAGAUGGGGAGUGAGAGGAUCUGAAAAGGUUAUAGCCAGCAAGUGCAGCUCCUUGACCACCUCUGAUGAAGCACCCAAUGGUGCGAAACGUGUUAGGAGAGUGGAGUAUGGGUACCAUGAGGCACUGGGAUGCACCUGUUUGUCGCUUGGUAUAGGUUCAUAAAAGAAGCUGGAGGCAAUUCUCAUUAGUUUUUUUGACAUCUUGUAUCACUUAUCUAAGGAACAAGCAAACCGAGAGCAGUUGCUUUGAUCAUGGCAAAAGUAAAAAGAGUGCUAAAAAGCCUAUGAAGAUUUAAAAAGUGGGAUAGACUUUCCUGUGGCUUGUUUGAAAGAACUAAGAAGAUUUAAACUUGCCAGAGUUGCAUGCAUUAAAGAAUUGUUAACAACGCAGAAUUUUUUUUUGUUCACGCGCCUUUAAACAGAUUCAUACAAAGUUCUUUAUCUGAAUGAUUUUAUUACACUUCUUGGCCUAAACCCCUUAUUAAUAUUUGGCUGCAUUUUUGUGGAUUCCUUUCUUGUUCCUAGAAAAUCCAUCAGUCUGUUGAUGUCACCCUGUGUAUAUAUCCCCUUAACCCCUCUAUAUGGCCAGUGUCUUUUUUAAAAAAAAAAAACCAAUAAGUUAUUGCUGUACACAGAACUAUUGAUGAAAAAACUUGAUUUGUGGAAAAAGUUCACAAGACUGCAAAACAUUUCAUGAAAUCAUGAAAAUAGUGUUACCCUUUCCUCUCUGUUCCUACCCUUUACAACUGUUCAUAAUAAAUGUCUACAGUGUUACUGAUUUCCUCUGGCAGCAGAUUUUCCAUCAAUAUCCUACUGUCUAGAAAUCCUUUUUAAAUAUAUAAAUAAAUAUACAUUUUUUUAAAAAAAAUAAGCAAAUAGUAACCACUUUAGAGUUCCAUGAACUGUAUAAAUGCCUUCUGGUUUUAUCUGGUAAGGAUAUCCUAGUUGACUUCUGAACUUAGGUGACUCCUUCUGUAUUUAUAUUUACAAUAGAGCAUGCAAUAUUCCAUAUACAGGUAUGUGACCUGUUAUCCAGAAUGCU